UACGAAGGGGGCUAGCGUUGUUCGGAAUUACUGGGCGUAAAGGGCCAGUAGGCGGCCAACUAAGUCACACGUGAAAUCCCCAGGCUUAACCUGGGAACUGCGUGUGAUACUGGAUGGCUUGAAUUCGGGAGAGGGAUGCAGAAUUCCAGGUGUAGCGGUGAAAUGCGUAGAUAUCUGGAGGAAUACCGGUGGCGAAGGCGGCAUCCUGGACCGACAUUGACGCUGAACGGCGAAAGCUAGGGGAGCAAACGGG
Molecule: ribosomal RNA, 253 nt
Filed under: uncultured Acidobacteriota bacterium
Lineage: Bacteria; Pseudomonadati; Acidobacteriota
Description: uncultured Acidobacteria bacterium partial 16S ribosomal RNA
Rfam family: Bacterial small subunit ribosomal RNA
Source: RNAcentral